CUUGUUUGUAUCAUUUCCGUAGAGAGAGAAAUCAGGACAGCAGUGUAUCCUGAAAAAACUAUAAUGAAUCUCUGACUCAGCUAAUCGUAAGAACUCAGGCAUUCUAAUCAUCAUUUCAAGGUUCUUCUUUUUGUCUGAUUAAUAAAAGUCAAAAGAACAAAUUGACAUGAGAAUCUAAGAAACAGCUCAUAUGCGGUGCCCAGUUCCAACUUGAGUUUUCUACGUUUCGAUGACUCGUUUCGAUCACAAACGGGUAACCACCUCCUCAUCUCUUUUCAGCUCCUUUCAUUGUUGACCUAAUUUGAUGAUCCUGCGUGCAGGUACUUUUAAAUAUUAAAGAACACUACACCAAUUCUCCUCUGUCAGCCACUAGAGCUACCUAAUGGGGCCUUUAAGUGCUUGAGCAUACCAAGCUUCAAACUGAUGGGGUGGUGGUUGGGUAAUGAAGUAGAAGAACCAAUAAUGAAGCUAGUAAAAGCUUAAGUUGAACGCACUGCACAAGGCAAAACAGUUGGUAUUGUUCUUGCACCUCAAGGAAUCAAUGGGAGUAUAUAUGGGAUAAGGGAAUUAGUGGAAGCAGUUCUUUGUUUCAGAUACAUACAAGCUGAUGAGCGGUUAAAAGGUCUAAGACAGAUCGAAUCUCCAGCGAGUCCUGAGGAAGAAGACAUCCAUCAUGGACAAACUAUAGCAGUUCCCCUGUGCGGGUCAAUGUGGAGAAAGAGAUAGUCUCUCUUGGAAUGCCAUCAACCCAUGAAUGUUUGCUUAUAAUUGAAUUACAAGAGGAGAGAUCUUGUAGUUUGUUGAUUCAUUUCGACAAGGGAACACCGCCACUAGCUAAUGUAAUCAAAGAAGCCUUUGAAGGAAGUGAUGUUGUUGCAAAGGUUGAAGCAACGAAAAAAGCAGUAAUAUGAGUGUGCCUGAACCCUUGUUUCACUUCCAUCUGCACCAUUGGCUAUUAGGGAUGCUGCCAACACCGAAACCUCAGACUGAUAACAGUGUCUAGCUUAUUGUGCUUGAUCGACUGAAUGAGCUCAAAACUUCUCACAGAGAGAUUAUGGUUGAUAUGAUCAUGGAUGUGUGUAGGGUACUUGCAAGCCCAAAUUUUGAUAUUCAAAAGAAGGCAGUUGACAUUGCUCUUGAGCUGAUAACUCCAUGUAACAUUGAUGAUGUUUUUCAAGCACUGAAAAAGGAAGUUGCGAAGACUCAGAGCACUGAGCUUGAGAAGAAUGGGGAAUACUGUCUAAUGCUUGUUCAAGCUAUGCAUUGUUGUGCAAUAAAACUCCUGAAGUGGCAGCACUAUGUUUCAUUUGUUGACGGAUUUCUUGGGUAAUAGCAAUCUGGCCUCAGCUAUUGAUGUGGUUUUUCGCGUACGCGAUAUUAUUGAUGUGGUUUUCAAAUUACAUCUAGGUUCUUGGGCACAUUUACCAGAUAUGUGCUGCAUGUUUAUGUUCUUGUGCUCACUGGAUCAUUGGAGAGUACUGUCUCUUGCUCACUUGCAAGCCCAAUUUUUGAUAUUCGAAGGAAGACAAUUGACAUUGCUCUUGAGCUGAUAACUCCAUCUAACAUUGAUGAAGUGGUUCUAGCACUGAAGAAGGAAGUUGUAAAGACUCAGAGCACCGAGCUUGAGAAGAAUGGGGAAUACCAUCAAAUGCUUGUUCAAGCUAUACAUUCUUGUGCAAUAAAAUUCCUGAAGUGGCAGCACUGUGGUUCAUUUGUUGGUGGAUUUCUUGGGUAAUAGCAAUGUGGCCUCAACUAUUGAUGUGGUUGUUCGCGUAUGCUAGAUUAUUGAUGUGGCUUUCAGUUAUAACUAGGUUCUUGGGCACAUUUACGAGAUAUGUGCUGCAUGUUUUUGUUCUUGUGCUCACUGGAUCACUGGAGAGUACUGUCUCUUACUCACUGAAGUUGAGUGUGGGCUUGCUACCAUUAAGCAAUGUCUUAGGGACCUGCCUUUUUUCACAGUAAGAAGAUGGCACAGAUACUUCAAGGAUACUAUGCUACUAGGAUACCCAGAAUUCUUGCUGGGGGUACCUAUGCUACUCAGAGUGCUGCCUCGGAAACUGCCAUAUCUCCUCCUACUCUUGACCAAAUAAAAAAUUAAUAGAACAUUUUGAAAUGAGAAUCAAGAGUCAAGUUCAGGUUAUACAAGAAGUAUUACCACAAGUAUUUUUGGUUGAAGAGACAGUGUAUGUUUGGAGCCCAGUCUCAACUCCAGUUUUCUUUUGAGACUCCUCUGGAUCUCAAAUGGCGUCUUCAGCGUGUUUCAGGUGGUAAUGUUCUUGCACCCGAAUUAAUCAAGGGGAAUCAUUGUAGUACUUGUGAGAUAUGAGAAUCGGUGGAUACAGUUCUUGGUUUCACAAGCUGAUGACUGGUUGAAAGGUCUUAGACAGAUCAAAUCUCCAGCGACUCCCGGGGAAGAGGCCGUCCAUCCUGGGCACACUAGCAGUUUCCCUCUUAGAGCAGGGGAAGAUGCAUCUUUCCAGCAGGAUUAGGUGUGAGUCAAGGUGAAGAAAGAGAUAAUCUCUCUUGGAAUGCCAUCAGUGUCACCCAAUGAACGAGUUGGAAAGCACUUGGACCCAUAGGAAUCGAAUGAAUUGAUUAGUGACCCAGUAACUAUAGUAAUUGAUGUUCAAAGUUCUAGGAAGUUUAAAAGGAGCUGUAGAUCCAUGUAUGAUGGCCUUCCAGAAAUUACCAUCUUGGGUGGAUGAUAAUCUGUUACCAGCUGAAUCUAAUUGCGACAACAGCAGAUUGAGGCUGACGGGUUGGGUAAAAGUAAAACCAUCCACUGACCAGGAAAGAAAAAUUCCACCGCAGGUUGCAAGUAGCACCGUCAGGUGUUGCGUGAAAGUACUAGACCUUCAAAGACGAGGAGCUUCAAAAAGUUUCAUGGCUGAAUGUGGAGCAAUGAGAUGCAUUCAGCAUCGAAAUCUAGUGAAGAUGCCGACUUGUUGCUCUAGUAUUGAUUUUAAAGGAAAUGAAUUUAAAGCUCUAGUCUCCGAGUUCAUGCCAAAUGGAAAUAUUGAGAAUUGGUUGCACUAAAUGUAUCCAUUGACUACUUUAUCCAAACAGCUAAUGAAGAGCAACUUCAAGGGUCAGUGAGGAGAUCACUGGGUUUUAUGGAGCUACUAAAUGUAUCCAUUGAUGUUGCUUCUGCACUAGAUUAUCUUCAUCAAGAUUGUCAGACUCCAAUUGCUCAUUGUGAUCUAAAGCCAGAUACUACUUUACUUGACGAUGACAUGAAGGGUCAUGUUUGUGAUUUCGGAUCAGGAAAGUUUCUUGGUGGGGUCAUCAUCAGUAUUGAAUCUGAACCCGAUACAAACAGUACUUUGGUUGGGAUAAAGGGGCUCGAUUGGUUAUGCUACUCCAGGUAGAAGUUUUGGCUCAAUUGGUUAUGCUGCUCCAGUUAUGGGAACAUGGUGCUAGUCUGCUAGAGUUGUUUCCCCAACGAGACCUACAGGUUGCAUGAUAACGGAUGGUUUAAGACUCAUACAUUUGUUAAGACAGCUCCACUUAGAGAUCGUGAAUGCAGAUCGUUGACCUAUAGCACUACUUGUUCCUGUCCAUCCCGAAGACAAUGAUGAUACCAACAAUGAAAUUCUAGUCAAGAGCAUGCCGGAUGCCAAGGUAAAGGAUGGAAAUACAGGUAUUGAAAGAGUUGCAGUCGUAAGAUCACAUAUCUCUCCAUAUUGGGACCCAAUUAAGGUAUAGUGCUGGCAACCAAUACUCAUUCCUAUACAGGAAAAGCUAUUCCCUUUGGUAUGAGAGAAACUUGCAUUCAAGUCCUUUAAUGAGCAACAUGGUAAAAUUGUUGUAAUAAAUGUCUGUAGCUGGAGUUGUUUCAAGGGAUGCUAGUCAAUUAGAAAGCAAAAUGAUAUAUUUACGUUUUAUAA
This is a long non-coding RNA of Papaver somniferum (opium poppy), 3887 nucleotides long. RefSeq lists it as uncharacterized. The record is from RefSeq and is a predicted model, not a curated record. The transcript has 9 exons. NCBI's taxonomy places the organism in Eukaryota, Viridiplantae, Streptophyta, Magnoliopsida, Ranunculales, Papaveraceae.